UGGCUCCGGCAACGAUGAAGAACGCAGCGAAAUGCGAUAAGUAAUGUGAAUUGCAGAAUUUUGUGAAUCAUCGAAUCUUUGAACGCACAUUGCGCCCUCUGGUAUUCCGGGGGGCACGCCUGUUCGAGCGUCAUUGAACCGAUCAAGCCCGGCUUGGUGUUGGGCGGCUCCCCGCCGGGAGCGUCCGAAAUGCAGCGGCUCGGUCGUACCGAGACAGGACGCACUGGGAUUUUUCAAAUCAUCGUUCUCGCUCCUCGGGCGGUCGUCGCCGUCUAAUCGCGGGACCGGCUUCGCCGGGCUCGCACCCCCAAGAAAAUUGACCUCGGAUCAGGUGGGAAUACCCGCUGA
This 348-nucleotide unclassified non-coding RNA is filed under the name uncultured fungus. RNAcentral describes it as "partial contains 5.8S ribosomal RNA and internal transcribed spacer 2". The stretch from base 1 to 133 matches the Rfam family "5.8S ribosomal RNA", at positions 22 to 154 of the family's 154-position model. The record is from RNAcentral. Lineage: Eukaryota; Fungi.